This 481-nucleotide ribosomal RNA is filed under the name uncultured bacterium. Its description in RNAcentral is "bacterial SSU rRNA". It matches the Rfam family "Bacterial small subunit ribosomal RNA", at positions 28 to 373 of the family's 1533-position model. The record is from RNAcentral.
GACGAACGCUGGCGGCGUGCCUAACACAUGCAAGUCGAGCGGUCCUGCAUUCAACAUUGAGUAUUCAGCAGGCGUUGGAGAUGUAACCAGCGUCAAGCAGAAACGACUAUAUAUUAUAAUUUUUUGAAGUUUCUGCUUCACGCCAAAUCAAGUGCCAACACAAAGGGAGCUGAGUAUUGAAUGUUGAAUGCAGGAUAGCGGCGGACGGGUGAGUAACGCGUGGGCAACCUGCCUCAUACAGGGGGAUAACACAGGGAAACUUGUGCUAAUACCGCAUAAUAUCAUUGGGUGGCAUCACCUGAUGAUCAAAGGAGAAAUCCGGUAUGAGAUGGGCCCGCGUCCGAUUAGUUAGUUGGUGAGGUAACGGCUCACCAAGGCGACGAUCGGUAGCCGAACUGAGAGGUUGAUCGGCCACAUUGGGACUGGAGACACGGCCCAGGACCUCCGUAAGGGAGCAGGCAGGUGGGGAAUAGUUGCGACG